AGAACGCGGCGGCAUGCUAACACAUGCAAGUCGAACGCUCGCACGAGGCAACUCGUGAGGGAGUGGCAGACGGGUGAGUAACGCGUGGGAACGUACCCCUCAGUUCGGAAUAACUACGGGAAACUGUAGCUAAUACCGGAUACGUCCGAAACGAGAAAGGUUUACCGCUGAGGGAGCGGCUCGCGUUAGAUUAGGUAGUUGGUAGGGUAAAGUCCUACCAAGCCUGCGAUCUAUAGCUGGUCUGAGAGGAUGAUCAGCCACACUGGGAGUGAGACACGGCCCAGACUCCUACGGGAGGCAGCAGUGGGGAAUAUUGGACAAUGGGGGAAACCCUGAUCCAGCAAUGCCGCAUGAGUGAUGAAGGCCUUCGGGUUGUAAAGCUCUUUUACCAGGGAAGAUAAUGACGGUACCUGGGGAAUAAGCUCCGGCUAACUUCGUCCCCGCAGCCGCGGUAAUACGAAGGGAGAAAGCGUUUUUGGGAAUUACUGGGCGUAAAGGGCGUGUAGGCGGUCUUGUGUCUUUGAUGUGAAAGACCUGGGCUUCACCUGAGAAGCGCAUUGAAUACGGCACGACUGGAGUGCGAGAGGGGAUUG
This 593-nucleotide ribosomal RNA is filed under the name uncultured bacterium. Its description in RNAcentral is "bacterial SSU rRNA". It matches the Rfam family "Bacterial small subunit ribosomal RNA", at positions 30 to 661 of the family's 1533-position model. The record is from RNAcentral.